GCUGGGCGUGGUGGCGCAUGCCUGUAAUUCCAGCUACAUGGGAGGCUGAGGCAGGAGAAUCGCUUGAACCUAGGAGGCGGAGGUUGUAGUGAGCCAAGAUUGCGCCACUGCACUCCAGCCUGGGUGACAGAGUGAGACUCUGUCUCUC
This 148-nucleotide small RNA is filed under the name Pongo abelii (Sumatran orangutan). Its description in RNAcentral is "Metazoan signal recognition particle RNA (ENSPPYG00000030651.1)". It matches the Rfam family "Metazoan signal recognition particle RNA". Rfam says of the family: The signal recognition particle (SRP) is a universally conserved ribonucleoprotein. Lineage: Eukaryota; Metazoa; Chordata; Mammalia; Primates; Hominidae. The record is from Rfam by way of RNAcentral.